RNAcentral lists this unclassified non-coding RNA (961 nucleotides) under Hevea brasiliensis (rubber tree). Lineage: Eukaryota; Viridiplantae; Streptophyta; Magnoliopsida; Malpighiales; Euphorbiaceae. The record is from RNAcentral.
AUAGAAAUUCAUUAAUGGAUUGGACUAAGCCCAAUUACACGAGCCAAAAAAGCCAGAAGGCCUAUAGGCAAAUGAAGCACAUCUCUUAAUACAAUCAAAAUCUAACCCCAAAUAAAUUUAAACAAUCCAACAGAAACAAAAAGCCUAAAGCCCAACAAACUAGAGCCCUAGACUGCAUCGGAUCCUAAACCUAAAGAAGACCUAAAUCAGCAAAACAAUGGGUUGCAAAAGCCACCACUGAUGAAACCAGAUGAGGUGUCGCCGGAGAGAUCUUCGCCUUUCAAUGGCCAUAGAUAGCGAGGAUCGCAGCUAGCUACCAAGUAGAGAUCAACCACGGUCUUCAUAGAGCUAGCUCAGAGAAAAGCAUAAGACCAAAAGCAACCAGGGAUCCAAAGAAACUUGUUGCAAGUUGAAUAUUCUGUUAACGAGGGCGACUGGGCAAAGCUCCACGGCAAGCGAGCCUUAUGGGUCACCUUUAAAGUCCGACACACGAUCCCGAAGGUAUCGCCAUCCCGAAGAUUUCAGUCACUUAUAGAAGAAAUGCAUACACUGGGUUGCAAAAGGAGAACCUAGACGUUUAACACCUCUCUGGGAAGCACCGAAAGCCAACAGUAUCCAAACUUGCUAUAAGCACAGAGCCAAAGAAGAAAGACAGGACAAGGCAUAUUCAAAGGAAAAACCUAUCAUUAAAGCUCAAUAUGCCCACAAACAAACAUAGAAAACAAAUAUUUACACCCGCCUAAAGGUCGUUUGAGUAACCCAAGAUUAAACAGAAAAUAGAAGCUUCUCCUAUUGUAAUUAUGUAGGGGAAACCGCUUAAACAAUAGAAAAGAUAUGACGAAGUGUAAGAACCAAAAAUAGAACAAAAAGUGAGUUUCUUUCUCUAAAAAAUUAAAGGUUUUGAAAACAUUAAGGGUAUGUUUGGGAAGGGAGAAAAGUGAGAGCGGAAAGAAAAUGUGAG